RNAcentral lists this non-coding RNA (199 nucleotides) under Alistipes putredinis. The record is from RNAcentral. RNAcentral also lists the same sequence under 1 other name. Lineage: Bacteria; Pseudomonadati; Bacteroidota; Bacteroidia; Bacteroidales; Rikenellaceae.
AUAUUUGUUUUCGGUAUCGGUUCCCGAGGUGGAGGGCGAAUCCACCGGGAUUAAAAGGGAAUCCUGUGAAAGUCAGGAACUAUCCCCGUAGCUGUAAGUUUCUUUUGGGCGGUACAUUCUCUCUGCCACUGGCCGUUCGGGCCGGGAAGGCGUGCCGUCCGGAACAAGUCAGAAGACCUGCCGUACCGGGACGAGAUUC